AGAGUUUGAUCAUGGCUCAGGAUGAACGCUGGCGGCGUGCCUAAUACAUGCAAGUCGAGCGAACAGACGAGGAGCUUGCUCCUUUGACGUUAGCGGCGGACGGGUGAGUAACACGUGGGUAACCUACCUAUAAGACUGGGAUAACUUCGGGAAACCGGAGCUAAUACCGGAUAAUAUUUCGAACCGCAUGGUUCGAUAGUGAAAGAUGGCUUUGCUAUCACUUAUAGAUGGACCUGCGCCGUAUUAGCUAGUUGGUAAGGUAACGGCUUACCAAGGCAACGAUACGUAGCCGACCUGAGAGGGUGAUCGGCCACACUGGAACUGAGACACGGUCCAGACUCCUACGGGAGGCAGCAGUAGGGAAUCUUCCGCAAUGGGCGAAAGCCUGACGGAGCAACGCCGCGUGAGUGAUGAAGGUCUUCGGAUCGUAAAACUCUGUUAUUAGGGAAGAACAAACGUGUAAGUAACUGUGCACGUCUUGACGGUACCUAAUCAGAAAGCCACGGCUAACUACGUGCCAGCAGCCGCGGUAAUACGUAGGUGGCAAGCGUUAUCCGGAAUUAUUGGGCGUAAAGCGCGCGUAGGCGGUUUUUUAAGUCUGAUGUGUAAGCCCACGGCUCAACCGUGGAGGGUCAUUGGAAACUGGAAAACUUAAGUGCAGAAGAGGAAAGUGGAAUUCCAUGUGUAGCGGUGAAAUGCGCAGAGAUAUGGAGGAACACCAGUGGCGAAGGCGACUUUCUGGUCUGUAACUGACGCUGAUGUGCGAAAGCGUGGGGAUCAAACAGGAUUAGAUACCCUGGUAGUCC
This 806-nucleotide ribosomal RNA is filed under the name uncultured bacterium. Its description in RNAcentral is "bacterial SSU rRNA". It matches the Rfam family "Bacterial small subunit ribosomal RNA", at positions 8 to 796 of the family's 1533-position model. The record is from RNAcentral.